CAAGUCGAACGGCAGCACGGGUGCUUGCACCUGGUGGCGAGUGGCGAACGGGUGAGUAAUACAUCGGAACAUGUCCUGUAGUGGGGGAUAGCCCGGCGAAAGCCGGAUUAAUACCGCAUACGAUCUACGGAUGAAAGCGGGGGACCUUCGGGCCUCGCGCUAUAGGGUUGGCCGAUGGCUGAUUAGCUAGUUGGUGGGGUAAAGGCCUACCAAGGCGACGAUCAGUAGCUGGUCUGAGAGGACGACCAGCCACACUGGGACUGAGACACGGCCCAGACUCCUACGGGAGGCAGCAGUGGGGAAUUUUGGACAAUGGGCGAAAGCCUGAUCCAGCAAUGCCGCGUGUGUGAAGAAGGCCUUCGGGUUGUAAAGCACUUUUGUCCGGAAAGAAAUCCUUGGUUCUAAUAUAGCCGGGGGAUGACGGUACCGGAAGAAUAAGCACCGGCUAACUACGUGCCAGCAGCCGCGGUAAUACGUAGGGUGCGAGCGUUAAUCGGAAUUACUGGGCGUAAAGCGUGCGCAGGCGGUUUGCUAAGACCGAUGUGAAAUCCCCGGGCUCAACCUGGGAACUGCAUUGGUGACUGGCAGGCUAGAGUAUGGCAGAGGGGGGUAGAAUUCCACGUGUAGCAGUGAAAUGCGUAGAGAUGUGGAGGAAUACCGAUGGCGAAGG
Molecule: ribosomal RNA, 670 nt
Filed under: uncultured beta proteobacterium
Lineage: Bacteria; Pseudomonadati; Pseudomonadota; Betaproteobacteria
Description: bacterial SSU rRNA
Rfam family: Bacterial small subunit ribosomal RNA
Source: RNAcentral